This 395-nucleotide ribosomal RNA is filed under the name uncultured bacterium. RNAcentral describes it as "partial 16S ribosomal RNA". It matches the Rfam family "Bacterial small subunit ribosomal RNA", at positions 523 to 918 of the family's 1533-position model. The record is from RNAcentral.
AUACGUAGGGUGCAAGCGUUAAUCGGAAUUACUGGGCGUAAAGCGUGCGCAGGCGGUUUUGUAAGACAGAGGUGAAAUCCCCGGGCUCAACCUGGGAACUGCCUUUGGGACUGCAAGGCUAGAGUACGGCAGAGGGGGAUGGAAUUCCGCGUGUAGCAGUGAAAUGCGUAGAUAUGCGGAGGAUCACCGAUGGCGAAGGCAAUACCUUGGGCAUGUACUGACGCUCAUGCACGAAAGCGUGGGGAGCAAUCUGGAUUAGAUACCCUGGUAGUCCCCGCCCUAAACGAUGUCAACUGGUUGUUGGGUCUUCAGUGUCUCAGUAACGAAGCUAACGCGUGAAGUUGACCGCCUGGGGAGUACGGCCGCAAGGUUGGAACUCAAAGGAAUUUGCGGGG